Molecule: long non-coding RNA, 2175 nt
Filed under: Homo sapiens (human)
Lineage: Eukaryota; Metazoa; Chordata; Mammalia; Primates; Hominidae
Description: non-protein coding ZFHX4-AS1:8
Source: RNAcentral
CCUCAGCCCUCCGCCACCACGCCCAGCUAAUUGUUUGUAUUUUUAGUAUAGACGGAGAUUUCACCAUGUUAGCCAGGAUGGUCUCGAUUUCCUUACCUCAUGAUCCCCUGCCUCGGCCUCCCAAAGUGCUGGGAUUACAGGCGUGAACCAAGGCGCCCGGCCGGAGUAGGAAUUUUAUGGGUUAUAAACUAAGGAUAUGGAGGUCGACUUGAGGAAGAAACCUGGAGUAUAAAAAUUCAGUUUGGAAAAAGACGUUUUGUCUCUUAAACUGAAGCACAUUCCUGCCAUUCAUUCGGACCAUACGAAGAUAAAACUAAAAACUUUUCUCUAAAGCUCCUGGUGAUGGUAGUUGAGUCAAUGAGCCACCAGCAACAACAAAGGACAAAAAGACUGCCAAAAAGUUCUAUGGCACAAGAAGUUUGAGAACUAGUGCUGUGGAUACCAUCUAUACAGCAAAGCACUAUGCUUCUGACGAUAGACCCUGCUUUCCUAAUUGAUCAAGAGAUAAAUAAGUGAUUCCAGCUGGCUAAAUGUGUGUUGCUGGCAAUAUGUGGCCCCAGGGGAGAGGCAAAAGUGGAGGUUCCCGAGUCAUCUGAGAUUUGUUGCCUCGGAACAGGAUCCACAGCUCAAUAAUAGUCACUGUACUGUCAUUGUUUAUUUGAAAUCUAAAGGUGUAAUGCAAGAAUAUGCAAGACCACAGGGACUGGAGACACAAAGAGCAUCUGAAGAGAGCUUGAAUGACUCCCAACAGUUCCAGUCUCAAAGUUACCAUGUGCAGCACAGUCAGGGCAGGUCUGUCUAACUGGGCUUCCUUGAAUUAACUUCCACAUAGAAUACAUUGUUUAUUAAAGAAUAAGUAUUUUUUUCUAGCUUAAAUCUUGCGUGUAUAUAAUAUUAUUAAAUCUCAAUGGGAACCUCAGGAAUUGUUUUGAAAUUAGAUCUACCAAAGAUGUUUCUCAAGGAGGAGUAUUUUAUUUUUGAAUUGUUUAGAAUUGCUGGAACACAGUGAUAAUAGUAGGGCAAAUCAUAGCCAAUUUGUUAUUGUUAUUAAAUUCUCUGUAGACAAUGCACACUCUUGUCUGUACUGGGGAAGACUGCACCGUCUGCUCCACUCUUUGUACACUAUGUGUCAGCUUUGACUUAACCAUUUUUACUACAUUUCUGUAUUAGAUUCCAAGUUUCAAAGAGAAGGUAUAUUGUAUACUGUCUUCUUCCCUAACCUUAUAUCCUUUUGCUCCACAUUUUAUUACAGCCAUGAUGACCCAUUUUACGUCAAAUUGAUCAGAUCAUGAAAUAUCCAAAUAUUUGGUGAAAAAUUAUCCUAGGUGUUUCUGUGAGAGUAUUUUUGGAUGAAAUUAACCUUUUAAUCAGUAGAGAAAAUUGCCCUCCAUAAUGUGUGCGGGCCUCAUCCAAUCAGUUGAAGACCCCAAAAGAAUAAAAAUAUUGACUGUCACUUCCCUGAGCAAAAUAAUUUUCCAACAGACUCCCUUUGGACUUCAUCUACACCAUUGGCUUUCCUGGGUCUUGAGUGUGCUGGUCCACACUGCAGAUUUAGAUUGCCAGUCUCCAUAAUGCAUGAGCCAAUUAUAAUAAAUCACUUCACACACAAAUUCUAUUAGUUCUAUUUCUCUGGAGUAACAAACAGCUUCUUAAAGGUGCCACUUGACAGAACUUCAGUAUAAUUGUUCUACGUAGAUCUCACUUUCUUGGAACUAUGCUAACUCUGUUGUUAUUCGUUAAAAUAUAGACCAGAGGCACACUGAUUGACUUGACAUAUCACAGUACACUAGGCUAGUUCACCAUAUUGGUGGCAUACUAAUAGCACCUAUUGAAAAGAAGCUAGUAAAUAUUUUGAAUACCUUAACAAGGCAUGUAAAUGAAAGUGAAGGAGAGAUAACCCCAUGAAGAUCCAAGACCUUGCCAGACUGAUAAAAUUUUUCUGGACCUUGCUGAUAUACCCUAUAAAAUUAAAUGGUCAUUAUAGAAAACGGUAUGGAGUUUUCUCAAAAAAAUAAAAAUAGAACUUCCAAAUUAUUCAGUAAUACAACUACUAGGGAUAUAUCCAAAGAAAAUGAAAUUAGUAUGUCAAAGAGAUAUCUGUACUACCAUGUUCAUUGUUGCACUAUUCACAAUAGCCAAGUUAUGGACUCAAACUGACAGUCCAUCAAUAGAUUA